UCCCACCAUUACUGUUGGGGAGUCUAAGUCUCUUUGUAGGUCUCUAAGAACUUGCUUAUGAAUCUGGGUGCACCUGUAUUGGGUGCAUAUAGACUUAGAAUAGUUAGCUCUUAAUACCUGGCCUCUUUCCCAAAAGCCCUUGAAGCAGCAUACCAAGAUAAGAUAUACACAGCGAUGCUAAUAACAUAUCAACAGCAAGGGAAGAAAAACAAAGGCUUAACAUACAUUAUUGCAUGUAAAAUUUGACUCUGGAACUUGCUGGAAAUUAAGGCUAAGAGAAGGGAAAGAAGUUACGCACUGCCCUAUCAGUAGGGCAAAAGCAUAACCGUUGCUUAGGGGAGAGCCUUUCCUGAUGCCUUCUGCUAUAGAUGUUCUCAUUGAGGGUCCUGUGAAGUGCUAAAAUGAACAGAAUUCUUGAUUUUCACACAUUUACAUGUUAUGAUUGUGCCUUGCAUCCUUACCUUGUACCAGCUUUCAAAGGCUUCCAUUUCAGGGUUUGGGGGAUUUGUGUAGGUGUGGUUAAUAAAGGAUUUUGUUUCCAUAAGUAAGAAUUCUUAUUCUAAGCUGCAAAUAAGUAUUAAGCUUGAAAAUAAUUUGAGACAAAUGCCUUGAGACACGGAGAACCUUUGCCGAAUUCUGUAAUUUGUAAGAUAGAAAGUGAAUGUGCUAUCCCUGGAUUAGCAUAUGUAUAUUGCAGUAAAUGUGGUCUUCUUCACAGUGGAAUUUAGUGUGGAGAGAUGCGCAGCUCCAUUUCUGUGAGGAUGUGUGUGGAACCCCAUUAGACUCCUACUUUGUCGGGGCUCCACAGAGACCAGAGGUUUGUCAUAAGGGACCUAACCUCCAUGGCUCCUGAGGUCAGCUGCUCCCCUAAAAGGCAAUUGCUUGGCCUUUAUUUCAGAAGGUUUACAAAGUGACCUAAGGAUGUACUCGGAGCUGUUUGGUUUCCACAGAAUUCAACUGUGUGUGUGUGUGUGUGUGUGUGUGUGUGUGUGUGUACACACCUUCCUUGUUACUAUUUUAACAGACUUUUGGCUCACUGUAAGAGUUAGAAUUUAUGUGAAGUGUGUGGUAAAAGAACACAUACAUUAUUCCAAGAGCAGCCACUACUCACACCACAUUGAACACUUAACGUUACCACAGGUUAUAGCUCACUCUUUGGGACCACAUUCUUUGUCUAUGGUCAAGGCUUUAUAGUAUUUUUCUGCCUUAUUAUCUCUAAGGAACUGAAGUAUUUCUCCCUAAAAAUGCUAUGGUAAAAUCUGAUUUUUGGGUUAAACUGGCUUUAGUAAUAUCCUCACUAAAAGUUAACAAAAGAAAUCCAGCUCCACUGAGUUUGUGUAAAAGGGCUGAGUCAGCUAAGAAUGUUGCUCUGAGCAUUACCAGUAAGGUUGGAGGUAUCUAAUCAUCAGUGUGCUGGUGCUUCUGUUGAAUGCUGGCAGAUUGCAGCCUCUUGUUUAAGCAUUGAGUUUUUCAAAGAAAAAAACUGGCUGCCACUCUUGCAGUGGCUUUCUUGAGUGGCUAAGCUUUCUAGGUUAUUUAGCAGAUGAAAUAGAAACAUGGAAACACUGUGGUUGGAAGCCACAUGGUGCGCAUGCUCCUGCUUGUUAACUAACAGUGAGUGGUGUUGAUGUGUGGGCAUUCAGUCGUCUUCUGCAUUGGCAGUGCCAAUGUGUAAUCAGUUGUCUCACCACAAUUGGGGGUUUUAGGAAACUCAGAAAUAUCAGCCUUAGUUCUCAGAGUUCUUGAAAUCAGUAUCUUAGUCUUAAGAAUUGUUCCUUGUGUUUCUUGGCAACAAACAGUAUUUUCAGCCCAACCCCACCCACAGUUUACAUUUGCCCUUUUCUCCUGCAUCUCACAGCAUAGCCAUACAAGCAGCACCCGACAGAAAGCACAUUCAGGCGCCAUCUGACAACGGGAAGCAGGACUCGGGCAUUUCAUUCCCCAUUUGCUCCUGGUGUCCCAUCCUCAGUUCUGCCUUGCUUACCUUCUUUGCGCCAGCACUUUUCUUUGAGGCUGUAUUGCAAAGGACCUUGCCUAAAGACAAACUGUUUUACCCUUGCACUUUGAAUUCCUCCAGUACCUAGUACUAACUAAUGAGGAGAAUGCUUAUGAGCUCAUUUUGUGGGCCAGCGCUGGGUUCUCCUCCAUAGGUAGUUGGGGACAGGGAGCACUAUCUCAUUUUCAUUUGAAGAAACCAAGACUUAGGUCAAGAACUUGUCUUUGUAUGGCAUGACACUUAGUGAUGGAUGGGGAGUUCUAAUUUGCGGUUUGCAUUUAACUUGCUUAAAAGUUGGUGCUCAUUUUUCUGUGUCACAGUGCAUCUCAGAAAGAAACUUCUUAGGGAAUGUGUGUGUUACUGAUGACAGCUGGGCUCUUACUGUUUUAGCAGCAGUGUGAACAGAUGAAGCAGACAUGAAGGGGGAAAUGGCAAUGUGUACUAUGUGACAGGCACUAUGCUAAGCAUGUCAUCCUCACUGAGCAUUUAUGAAGGUUUUCUAUUUUAAAAAUGAGCCACCUGAGCCAUGAAGAAGUUAAGUGACUUGACCACAGUCACAAUCCAUGUGGUAGCACCAGGAUUUCAGUCCAGAUCUGACUCAGAACUCAUGCUCUUAACCACCAUGUGAUUUGAAGCUAGAUAACAAGGAAAUACAUUUAAAUACGUAAGGAAUACAUAUAUGUGUGUGUGUGUGUAUAUAUAUAUAUAUGUAUAUAUACACACACCACACAUACAGGUAAUAUAUACUACUACUAAAGACAUCAGAUCAGUGCUAACUCCUGCAGUAUAGAUGUCCCAGGUUGAAUAAAAUAGUUUCCUAAAAUCCCUACAUUUGUAACAAUGACAAAGGACGGGCAGAUGGCUGCAGGAUGUAUGAGGUUCACCUCAUGUAUGCAAGAGGUGCAUAUCUCAGGUAUGAGGUUCACCUCAUACGUGAGGUGAAGCUUAUGUAUACCUCAGCUAUUAGGGCAAGAAGUAUACAUUUUAGUACUUGUACUAAAACUAACAAAUUCUUGAUAUGAAAAAUAAAAGCAUUAUUGGUGAUUUAGGUGUUACAAUUGCUUUUCCUAACAAAAUGCCAGAACAGGUUGAUUCUUUAACUUGAAAUUGUUUCAUGGGAAUUCUGUUAGGUGAUUGGGGAAUUUGUGAUCCCUCUGUCUGAAAAUAUUAACCAAAAAAUAGAAGGGAACUUUCCAAGGUGCAAAAUAGUGUUUAAGAGUUUAGAGCCAGAAUCAUCCCUGGCUUUCUUUUCUACUAGUAUGGUGACCUCAGCAAAUUACUUAAUCUUUCUGCCUCAGUUUCCUUAGAUGUAAAGUGAGGAUAAUAAUCGUACCUUUGGCAAAGCAGUGUUGUGAUGACUGAGUAAAUGUAAAGCACUUAGAGUCUGGCACAGCAAGUGCUAGGAAAGCGUUGGCCACCACGGUGUGGUCUUCCUUGUUGCAGUUAUUUCAAAGGUGGUAAGUCUUUUAAAUUGCGAAUGCCCUCAAAUGUCAUAAAUCAUUGUACAAAACUCUUCAGAAGCCACCACUUAAGAAUCCCAUUGAAAUAUCUGGCAGGCAGGCACUUGUGCAUCCAAAGAGAAGAGGGUGUUGAAGGACUCACACUUGACAAAUGCCUGCUGUAUACAAGGUGCUUUGCCCACAGGAUGUUAUACACCUUAACAAGUCCUCCUGAGGGAAGGAAGCAGGAUGAAGCCCCGUGUCACACCCCUGAGAGUGGUAGUCUGUGCUCGCCCAGUACCUGCACAGUCUCCCAGGUACUGGGGUGCUGGCAAGUGAGGGAUGUGCUUCUAGGAACCUUGCCCUAUUCAGUGUGAAACCAGCAUUUUGGUGCCCUACACUUGACUUGGCACAUUCAAAUCUGAUCUAGUUUGCUCAUGGAUGGCAGCAGCCCUCGUACCCCCACUCUAAGGGCCCCCUGAGUGUGCACAUGCGUUGAUACGAAGGAGAGGGAUGUGGAAAGGCAGCCCCAGCCUUCAGCUGCAGUAUCAUGCAGAUGCUGGGGACGUUGAGAGCUGAAAGGCAAUCUUAAAUUAUGCAAAUGCAAUACUGCUUUUAUAAAAGCAUCUGAGGCAAAAGGCUCCCUCCAAAAAAAAAAAAAAAAAAACUGUGUGAGCUGGGACUGCCAGUAUGGCUAACAAAGUGGGGACGAAAUUCUGCAAAAUAAAACUAGUCUCAGGCUAACCAGAGAUGCUGACAAACCUGAGAUUCCAGGCAGAUCUAAAUUAGAAAUCGGCCAAGGGAAAACACAGUGAUGAGUCCCCCUUAGGGAUUCCAGUGAGAAUUCUUUAAAUUCAUGGCCCUGAUGGAGUAGCAGUAGGAGAGGCAAGCCCUGGAGAUGCAUAUGGCCUCAGUGGCUCACCCACCCUCAACCCUAGGUGAAUCCUUUGCUUUGCCGUCUUCCUCCCCUGGACUCUCUGGACCUGCUGCUUGCCCUGUAAACCUGGAUUAUCUCCACUCCCUACUCCUGAAUGGGGCCCUCGGCAAGAGAGGCCUGUGGCUAUGCUGAUGUGAAUGUGGCUGGGCUGGGCUGGUGUCUGCAGGACAAAACAAGGGCUGGUUCUGACUUUGGUUUGAAGGUGAUUUUCCCACAGAUCCCCCUUGGCACGAUGCUUUUGCCUCAUUUGUCUCUGCCUUUGGCUCUAAAUCUUAGUCUUAAUUAGAUUGUGUUUACAUUUGCACCAUAUAUGUGGUCUGGCACUUGAAGAUUGGAUAAAGAGUUACACAAAUAUUUAGACUCAGGGUGUUCCAGUGGAAGGGGAGAGGCUGGAGACCAGCCACUCCAAUGCCCUCAUUUACCUUUGUUCUUGUGUCCGUCUUGUGAAGCAGGGACCCUGCAGGUGGGAAAAAGAGAUGGCAAGAAGACAGCCAAUAUCACAAUUUCCCUCCCAAGACAGGGAUGAAAAACCACCAAGAGGGCUUUUGUGAAAAUCUGGAAAGAUGAGAAAAGCCCACUUUAGUCAUUGGCUCUCAUUUCAUCUAUUGUUAACCUGGAGGAGUGGUGAGCCCACUGUUCCUGCCAAGCUCUUUCAGUAGCCAGCCAGAUGAGGACCGUUAACAGAAGUGCUUCUGGGCAAGUGCCACAGGGACUGCUUUGAUACCAGGAUGACCUCAGGCGAGGCUCCAGUCCUUUCUCGAAUGGCCUCUCAGGCCUGAGGAGGCGCAGGUGAGAAAAUGUGCAUGAGCUCUCUAUACACAGUGAAGUUCAUCCAAAUGGAGCAGGAUGGCUUGUCUGGUCUGCUGCACCUCCCCUUCCCCACCCCCAUAAAUAACAGCAGCCCUUCCAGCUCUCCUUUUGAUACUGUGCUCAGUGAUGGGGGCCUUGCAGUGGGCAGCCAGAGCCAGCAUAGCCAAGCUUUGUUGGUUCCCUUCCCUCUGAAGGUGAACAGGACAGCAUUUGUUCUCUUUGGUGUGUUGCUUUUAGACAAAUUCAAAAGCUGCCGGGUUUUAGAGCGUGUUUGUCACUGCCAUCGUAGUUCUCUUGUUCAGGCAGCAGUGAGAAUCUGCUCAGCACUCGUGAGCACUGAAUGCUGAACUGCCUGAGAAGGCUUUCCUGCCCUACAGUGACACGGGCUCAGCACCUUCUUCAGGCUCCGGGAAGCUCAUAUACUGCUGAGGAGCAACAACUCAUGGCCAUUGCAGCACUAUGGAAAACCCGCAGCUCCUACCAUCAUUUGACUACAUGCCACUCAGGUAAUUUUGCUUUUGGAAAAGUUCUGUGAAUGUGUUUGUAACUUUGAAUGUCUUAGUCUCUCCAAUACACCAGGAUUCACUGUGUCUUCCCACUGAUUAGCUGCUAACAUCACACUACAGUCAAAUAAUCAUCAUGUUGGCUGCAGUCUGGUGUUGGUUUUGGUGAUGUUUGCUGUCCGUGAGCAUUAACGUGGUGUUCAAAACUCACCCAUCUAUCAAAAGCAUCUUUUCAAAUACAUUUUGUUAGUGUUCUAGAUAUGAAUAUGCUUUUGGAAAAAAGUAGGUCCUCAUAAGGGAGAAAUGAAUAGGUUCUCUGGGAUUAGCUCAGUGGGAAUGGGGUUGGAAAGGGCUUUUGAAGGUUUUAAGUUGCAUUUCUUUGGUGUCCACAUGUGGUUUCAUGGACCUGGUCUAAUCCUGGAUUUCAUAUCCCCUUCACUCCUGGUCCCUACUCCUCAGCCCUUGUUCCUCAGCCUCCUGCACUGGGUAUGCCAGCUCCCCAGCCCCGUGCACUGAUGCUUGCUGUGGUCACCAGUGUUCUCCCAAAUGGCUGCCACAAGGACCACAGUCUUCAGCCAGCAUCAUCUCUGUAGCAAGGCGCUGUUCCCUACUCGGGAGUUGGCUGCCCUCUGCGGCUCCCCUCCCCAGCACCCCAAAGGCUGGGUGUACCAAGCUGCAAAUCAGACCAGGACACGUUACCAGUGAAAGUGUUUAAUAGUUAAAUUAUUUAAAUAGACUUCAAUUUCCAUGGGAAAUCAUAAUCGUAUCCGUUUUUGCAAGAGUAGGAAUAAAAAGAGUGCACACCCCUUAGAGGGAACGAAGAGCUAGCACUGCACCUGCACGCGGUCACCAGUCACUGCUAGGAUGGGAGAGGGGCCUCCGUGGGGCCAGGAGGCUGUGACCAUGGGGGAACAUGGGAUGAACUCAGCACACACACUUUACUCGGGUUGGAAGCAGAACGAAAACCCACCACCACUGGCAGGCGCUGUGGAGGGGCAGGGAACUUGAGAACAACAGCUGGGAGAAGGCGGGCCUCCUGCGGCCCACGGCAUGAUGGCAAUGUAGAAGCACGGGACAGACUCAGGCUUGGCAGUUUUGGGUCCACACACUUUGCUUCUCAGAGCUGUGUUUGAAUUGUGGUGGGAUUGGUGUGCAGGGAAGGGAGGGUGUUGAUCGAGCCCAGUGAGAGGUGGUGCAGGUGGACAUCAAAGUAACAUUUUGGCAGCUAGCACAGCUGCUGCCUUACUGCCUUCAAGCUCAUGUUGGAGGGAGGAUAAUUCUAACCUGAGAAGCAAUGGAGAGAUUUGGGCAUGGGCCCUAAGGAUUCUGUUUGAAUUCUGUGAUACAGUAUCAUUUUCCAUAUGCUUUCCUCAUAGCUUAUAAAAAUAGUAUUUUUUUCUUGGUAUGUUUAACUGCCCCAUCCCGAUAAAAGAAAAUUUCUGCUAGCUUUCCCUGUGGACUCUGAAGCUGGGCUCUACCCAUUCCUCUGCCUGGUUUGCCGGUGGAGGUCAAGGCUACUCCCUUUCCCCAAACCUGAGGGCUCGCUGCACAUUGCAUCCCUGGACUGAGUGAUCAUCUCCAGGAAGAGCCACCUGUACCUUGGCCAACUGAGCAGGCCAGGCAGGCUUGGUUUCCUUGCCCCAGCCUGCAGAGCACCCGGGAGUUUGCAGGACCUGCCUCUGCAGGCAACAAAUGUCUGAAAUCUCAGGGUGUGGAGGGUGCCAUGCUACCUGCUGCAGAAUGAGGUUGCUUCCCUUGGUUCCAGCUUGGCCUGGAAUGGGAAAACAGUUUUUUUCUUAUUUCAUCUGCAUUUUUCUUAGGGGAAGCAGGGUGUGUGCAUGUGUGUACACACGUGUGUGUGGCAGAGAAAGAUGGGUCAAUGUGUCCGUGCAUCCUCCUCCUCAAUCUGGGCAUAUGGCACCCCGAAAGCACACACCCACUGCUCUGGUGGUACCUGGGAAAACCAAAACUGCCAAAUCUGAAAUAAGGGAAACGCAUCCUGCGUAAGACCAGUUCCACAGCAUGAACAUACACACAUAUACACUAGUACAUACAGCAACAUACACACAGUACAAAUGAGCACACACGCCCUGCUGUGCACAGCUGUUUUCUAAUUUACAAAAUAUAGAAUUUGGCAUAUCUGUGAGAUCUCCAAGGCUUUCAAUAAUACAAAAUAAAAAAUACAAAAAAGACAAGUGGGGAUCCCUGCCCUCCCCCCGAGUGGCGUCCUCAUUUGCUUGUGUGUCUUACACGCAUACAACUAGCAUAGUCUAAAGAAGGGCACGGAGAACUAGUUUUGUUUUGUUUAAUAAAUAUUUUUUCUCAGAAUCACCA
Long non-coding RNA from Cebus imitator (Panamanian white-faced capuchin), 8019 nucleotides. RefSeq lists it as uncharacterized. Lineage: Eukaryota; Metazoa; Chordata; Mammalia; Primates; Cebidae. The record is from RefSeq and is a predicted model, not a curated record. The transcript has 2 exons.